AUACGGAGGGUGCAAGCGUUGUUCGGAAUUACUGGGCGUAAAGCGCGCGUAGGCGGUCUGUUAUGUCAGAUGUGAAAGUCCUCGGCUCAACCGGGGAAGUGCAUUUGAAACUGGCAGACUUGAGUACUGGAGGGGGUGGUGGAAUUCCCGGUGUAGAGGUGAAAUUCGUAGAUAUCGGGGGGAAUACCGGUGGCGAAGGCGACCACCUGGCCAGAUACUGACGCUGAGGUGCGAAAGCGUGGGGAGCAAACAGGAUUAGAAACCCCAGUAGUCC
This 274-nucleotide ribosomal RNA is filed under the name uncultured bacterium. Its description in RNAcentral is "partial 16S ribosomal RNA". It matches the Rfam family "Bacterial small subunit ribosomal RNA", at positions 523 to 796 of the family's 1533-position model. The record is from RNAcentral.